UUUGACUCAACACGGGAAAACUUACCAGGUCCGAACAUAAGCGUCUAAGAGAGAUUGGCAGGUCUUUCUCGAAUCUAUGGGUGGUGGUGCAUGGCCGUUCUUAGUUCGUGCAGUGAUUUGUCUGAUUAAUUCCGAUAACGAACGAGACUCAAAUAUAUUAUAGGUUUACACUUAACGCUGACCGACUUCGAAGGUCUGAACUUCACCUUGGACGUAGGGACACAUUCAAUUAUGGUAAGAUAUGGAACCAUAAUUAGAAACGAUUUUCUUCUUUCUUCACAAGAAACACUAGAGAGAAAAACGAGGCCGGAAAAUUCAAGAAACGAAUAACUCAUGAACUGAACGUUGUGG
Molecule: non-coding RNA, 351 nt
Filed under: Glossina austeni
Lineage: Eukaryota; Metazoa; Arthropoda; Insecta; Diptera; Glossinidae
Description: eukaryotic small subunit ribosomal RNA
Rfam family: Eukaryotic small subunit ribosomal RNA
Source: RNAcentral